This 794-nucleotide long non-coding RNA is filed under the name Sus scrofa (pig). RNAcentral's name for it is "lncRNA (ENSSSCG00040014095.1)". The record is from RNAcentral. Lineage: Eukaryota; Metazoa; Chordata; Mammalia; Artiodactyla; Suidae.
CAAGCACCGAGACCAAGAACUUGGCAGAGACCAGAGGGGUCCCAUCACCAGAGGCUGAAAUAACAGGAAUUAUAUGGAGCCUGCUGUGAGCAAGAGAUAAAGGGCAUGGAGGUUCUCGGGAAUGGGGGUGGAAGAAGAGAGGGGCUGUAUCUACAGGUGUGAAACCAUCCGAUCCAGACCAGCAGCAGGUGAGGAUGGGAGGCACAUGCAUGUCGGUUUCAGGAAGAUCAGAGCUCAAGUCCUGUGGUGUCAUUUACCCAAAGGGGUGAUGGUGAGAAAAUUAUUUUACUUUUCUGCUCAGUUUUUUGGUUUUGUUAUUUAUUUGUUUAUUUAAGCCACACACAUGGCAUGCAGAAGUUCCCAGGCUGGGGAUCGAACCUGUGCCACAGCAGUGACCCCAGCCAGCAGUGACAAGGUUGGAUCCUGCUGAGCGACACGGGAACUCCAUCUGCUCAGUUUUCGGUCUGAAAAAUAAUGGUAAUAAUCUUGUAGGGUUUCUGGGAGCCUUAAAGGUGACCAUGUAUGCAAAGCACUUUGUACAGUGCCUGGCACGUGGUAAUACUCAGUAAAUGCUGGCCACUGCUUUCAGAGACCAGAAAAACUACUGCCAGAUUUUUUUUUUUUUUUUUUUUUAACAGCAUGUAGAAUAUGGCAAAAUACUCUUGAGGAGAUUCAUGACAGAGCAAAAGUUUUUACCAUUCCUGAGUGAACUCCUCCAUGUGCCCAGCGCUAGGCUGGGUGGUUUCCUCUGAGAAUUCUCACUGGGAGAAUAAACGGCUAACAAAUUCUGUGCA